RNAcentral lists this ribosomal RNA (655 nucleotides) under uncultured bacterium. RNAcentral's name for it is "bacterial SSU rRNA". It matches the Rfam family "Bacterial small subunit ribosomal RNA", at positions 32 to 683 of the family's 1533-position model. The record is from RNAcentral.
AACGCUAGCGGGAGGCUACCACAUGUCUAAGCCGAGCGGUAGAGAUUCUUCGGAAUCUUGAGAGCGGCGCACGGGUGCGGAACACGUGUGCAACCUGCCUUUAUCUGGGGGAUAGCCUUUCGAAAGGGAGAUUAAUACCCCAUAAUAUACUGAGUGGCAUCACUUAUUAUUGAAAACUCCGGUGGAUAGAGAUGGGCACGCGCAAGAUUAGAUAGUUGGUGAGGUAACGGCUCACCAAGUCAAUGAUCUUUAGGGGGCCUGAGAGGGUGAUCCCCCACACUGGUACUGAGACACGGACCAGACUCCUACGGGAGGCAGCAGUGAGGAAUAUUGGACAAUGGGUGAGAGCCUGAUCCAGCCAUCCCGCGUGAAGGACGACGGCCCUAUGGGUUGUAAACUUCUUUUGUACAGGGAUAAACCUUUCCACGUGUGGAAAGCUGAAGGUACUGUACGAAUAAGCACCGGCUAACUACCGUGCCAGCAGCCGCGGUAAUACGGAGGGUGCAAGCGUUAUCCGGAUUUAUUGGGUUUAAAGGGUCCGUAGAGCGGAUCUGUAAGUCAGUGGUGAAAUCUCAUAGCUUAACUAUGAAACUGCCAUUGAUACUGCAGGUCUUGAGUAAGGUAGAAGUAGCUGGAAUAAAGUAGUGUAGCGGUG